This 391-nucleotide ribosomal RNA is filed under the name Astacus astacus (noble crayfish). Its description in RNAcentral is "partial small subunit ribosomal RNA". The stretch from base 279 to 391 matches the Rfam family "Bacterial large subunit ribosomal RNA", at positions 2473 to 2586 of the family's 2925-position model. Lineage: Eukaryota; Metazoa; Arthropoda; Malacostraca; Decapoda; Astacidae. The record is from RNAcentral.
UUGAAGGCUGGAAUGAAUGGUUGGACAAGAAAUAAGCUGUCUUAAAUAAAAAUAUUGAACUUAACUUUUAAGUGAAAAGGCUUAAAUUUUCUAAAGGGACGAUAAGACCCUAUAAAACUUUAUAUUUAAAAGUAAUUGCAAUUAUUAUUUAAAGAUUUUAUUUUUAAAUAUUUUAUUGGGGUGAUAAGGAUAAAAUAUAAGACAACUGUCUUUUAUUUUAACAAUAAUUUUUGAGUAAGUGAUCUUAGUAAAGGAAUAAAAGAUUAAGUUACUUUAGGGAUAACAGCGUAAUUUUCUUUGAGAGUUCUUAUCGACAAGAAAGUUUGCGACCUCGAUGUUGAAUUAAAAGUUCUUUAUAGAGUAGAGACUAUAUUAGAAGGUCUGUUCGACC